UCCCUGGCAGUCCAGUGGCUAAGACUCUGUGCUUCCCAUGCAGGGGGCCUGGGUUCAAUCCCUGGUCAGGGAA
Molecule: non-coding RNA, 73 nt
Organism: Bos taurus (domestic cattle)
Lineage: Eukaryota; Metazoa; Chordata; Mammalia; Artiodactyla; Bovidae
Source: Rfam